UACGGGGGGGGGCAAGCGUUGUUCGGAAUUACUGGGCGUAAAGGGCUCGUAGGCGGCCAACUAAGUCAGACGUGAAAUCCCUCGGCUUAACCGGGGAACUGCGUCUGAUACUGGUUGGCUUGAGUGUGGGAGAGGGAUGCGGAAUUCCAGGUGUAGCGGUGAAAUGCGUAGAUAUCUGGAGGAACACCGGUGGCGAAGGCGGCAUCCUGGACCAUUACUGACGCUGAGGAGCGAAAAGCCAGGGGAGCAAAGCGGG
This 256-nucleotide ribosomal RNA is filed under the name uncultured bacterium. RNAcentral describes it as "partial 16S ribosomal RNA". It matches the Rfam family "Bacterial small subunit ribosomal RNA", at positions 524 to 777 of the family's 1533-position model. The record is from RNAcentral.